RNAcentral lists this ribosomal RNA (461 nucleotides) under Pectobacterium brasiliense. Its description in RNAcentral is "bacterial SSU rRNA". It matches the Rfam family "Bacterial small subunit ribosomal RNA", at positions 1 to 455 of the family's 1533-position model. Lineage: Bacteria; Pseudomonadati; Pseudomonadota; Gammaproteobacteria; Enterobacterales; Pectobacteriaceae. The record is from RNAcentral.
CUUAAAUUGAAGAGUUUGAUCAUGGCUCAGAUUGAACGCUGGCGGCAGGCCUAACACAUGCAAGUCGGGCGGUAGCACAGAAGAGCUUGCUCUUUGGGUGACGAGCGGCGGACGGGUGAGUAAUGUCUGGGAAACUGCCUGAUGGAGGGGGAUAACUACUGGAAACGGUAGCUAAUACCGCAUAACCUCGCAAGAGCAAAGAGGGGGACCUUCGGGCCUCUCGCCAUCAGAUGUGCCCAGAUGGGAUUAGCUAGUAGGUGAGGUAAUGGCUCACCUAGGCGACGAUCCCUAGCUGGUCUGAGAGGAUGACCAGCCACACUGGAACUGAGACACGGUCCAGACUCCUACGGGAGGCAGCAGUGGGGAAUAUUGCACAAUGGGCGCAAGCCUGAUGCAGCCAUGCCGCGUGUGUGAAGAAGGCCUUCGGGUUGUAAAGCACUUUCAGCGGGGAGGAAGGCGGU